AUUUAGGUGAGGCAUUUCGUCAAACAGCUUACGUGCACGAUGAUCCAUUUUCGCUCUGCCAUAGAGAAGAAUAAGACGGGCAACAAAGGCUUCGUUUUACUGGCAUAGAGUUUCCGCAACCAGGCUUCAGGCCAGCGGAACGGAUUGAAGAAACAGGUCGCCGUUUAGCUGAUUAUGCUCGAUCCUUUAAUGUUCCAUUUGAAUACCAUGCAAUUGCAAAGAAAUGG
RNAcentral lists this unclassified non-coding RNA (227 nucleotides) under Hevea brasiliensis (rubber tree). The record is from RNAcentral. Lineage: Eukaryota; Viridiplantae; Streptophyta; Magnoliopsida; Malpighiales; Euphorbiaceae.